This 253-nucleotide ribosomal RNA is filed under the name uncultured bacterium. Its description in RNAcentral is "partial 16S ribosomal RNA". It matches the Rfam family "Bacterial small subunit ribosomal RNA", at positions 524 to 776 of the family's 1533-position model. The record is from RNAcentral.
UACAGAGGGUGCGAGCGUUGUCCGGAAUCACUGGGCGUAAAGGGCGCGUAGGUGGCGCGACAAGUCAGUGGUGAAAGUUCGACGCUCAACGUCGAAUCGGCCACUGAUACUGUUGGGCUUGAGCACUGUAGAGGCUAAUGGAAUUCCGGGUGUAGCGGUGGAAUGCGUAGAGAUCGGGAGGAAGGCCGGUGGCGAAGGCGGCGCUCUGGAACAUUUCUGACGCUGAGGCUCGAAAGCGUGGGGAGCAAACAGG